UACGUAGGGUGCGAGCGUUAAUCGGAAUUACUGGGCGUAAAGCGUGCGCAGGCGGCGCGUUAAGACAGGUGUGAAAGCCCCGAGCUUAACUUGGGAAUUGCGCUUGUGACUGGCGUGCUGGAGUGUGGCAGAGGGAGGUGGAAUUCCACGUGUAGCAGUGAAAUGCGUAGAGAUGUGGAGGAACACCGAUGGCGAAGGCGACUCUUUGGCCUGUAACUGACACUGAGGCGCGAAAGCGUGGGGAGCAAACAGG
Molecule: ribosomal RNA, 253 nt
Filed under: uncultured bacterium
Lineage: Bacteria
Description: partial 16S ribosomal RNA
Rfam family: Bacterial small subunit ribosomal RNA
Source: RNAcentral